This 550-nucleotide ribosomal RNA is filed under the name uncultured Alphaproteobacteria bacterium. RNAcentral's name for it is "bacterial SSU rRNA". It matches the Rfam family "Bacterial small subunit ribosomal RNA", at positions 8 to 606 of the family's 1533-position model. Lineage: Bacteria; Pseudomonadati; Pseudomonadota; Alphaproteobacteria. The record is from RNAcentral.
AGAGUUUGAUCAUGGCUCAGAGCGAACGCUGGCGGCAGGCUUAACACAUGCAAGUCGAGCGCCCCGCAAGGGGAGCGGCAGACGGGUGAGUAACACGUGGGAACGUGCCUUUUGGUUCGGAACAACCCAGGGAAACUUGGGCUAAUACCGGAUAAGCCCUAACGGGGAAAGAUUUAUCGCCAAAAGAUCGGCCCGCGUCUGAUUAGCUAGUUGGUGGGGUAAUGGCCCACCAAGGCUACGAUCAGUAGCUGGUCUGAGAGGAUGAUCAGCCACAUUGGGACUGAGACACGGCCCAAACUCCUACGGGAGGCAGCAGUGGGGAAUAUUGGACAAUGGGGGCAACCCUGAUCCAGCCAUGCCGCGUGAGUGAUGAAGGCCUUAGGGUUGUAAAGCUCUUUUAGCAGGGAAGAUAAUGACGGUACCUGCAGAAAAAGCCCCGGCUAACUUCGUGCCAGCAGCCGCGGUAAUACGAAGGGGGCUAGCGUUGCUCGGAAUCACUGGGCGUAAAGCGCACGUAGGCGGCUUCUUAAGUCAGGGGUGAAAUCCUGGA